This 1873-nucleotide long non-coding RNA is filed under the name Macaca fascicularis (crab-eating macaque). RNAcentral's name for it is "lncRNA (ENSMFAG00000057544.1)". The record is from RNAcentral. Lineage: Eukaryota; Metazoa; Chordata; Mammalia; Primates; Cercopithecidae.
UGAGUAGGCUGAAGAGGAGGAGGAAGAGAAGAAGGUGUCUCAGAGGUGGCAGAGGCAGAAAGAAAAGAAAUGGAGGAAGUUGAGCAGGAGGCAGGAGAGGCAGGCAAGCUAGGUGAAACUUUCAUUGAAAAAAAUCCACUUAGAAGUGGGCCCCCAAAUUUCAAACCCUUGUUGCUUAAGGGUCAACUAUAUGUUUUGAGGUAUUUAGCAUUGAUCUGUGGCUAUAUUCCACUUUGGUUUCAAAGGAGAACCUGAGACCUUAAGCUUCUUUGUCUCAGAAGUGUCCUUCUUAUGUGGCUGAAUGAAAAUGUAUCUAACAACAGUGUGCCAUUCUGGAUUUUCUUCUACCCACUCACCCCAUCUUCUCCAGCCCUGCCCCAGCAAAUCUUAAGAAGAAGAUUACUCUGAGUUAUCACAAAGGAGUCUCCUAUUCUGGAGAGGGGAGAGGUGAAAAAGAGAGGAGGGAGGGAAAUGCCCUAAGGACAGGAAAGGGAGGGAGGUUUUGUUCCCAGGGACAUCAAUAGCCAGGCCCUACUCCAUCACUGCACUCCCCUGUUAUAGGCAGAAUCUAAGAGGGGAAUGGCAGCCUCAGGAACCUCAGCACCAGGGCUGACAGGCUGGAAAUUGACUCCUUUGGUUUGAACAAAAGUUCAAAACCUUUAGUGUCAGUGGGCAUUCCCUGUAAGACCCUGACUGCAUCAUUGGUGACAUCUACAGGUUGAGGUCCCAAAGGCUUUGGCUGAGUUUUCUUCUCUCAGCAAGAAUCCCAGGAUAUCUGUAUACUUUGAAGAGGCUAGAGGGGCAGAGGGAAGAAAUGACACUCAGUAAUUUUAAAUUUGGAUCAUGUGUGAGAGAAUGGAGAAACUGUACUUUAACAUGUUAAAUUUAGAUAAAAGUAACAUUGCUAUAUCCCCAAUAUGGUUGAAUAAAAUGUAUACUGAAUUUAACAUAAAAGGGAGAUUUCUCAAGAAAUAUCUUGGAUGAAAAUCUGAAACAUUGGUAUGACUGUGUGAUUAUCCCUGGGCCUGAAAGUGUAACUGAGGUUGUUCUUUGCAGGACAGAGUUGGUGCAAAUGGAAAAGCCCCAGCCAGUCAAGCCAGAACUGACUUCCCGGCCCAUCACUGGAGUGCUAGAUAUGCUCAACAAAUUCAGAGGUUAGAGCCAGCUGCUUGGCAGUACAGCCUCAACUUCUGUUUAGUGGGUUGCUUGGUUGAGCCAUUUCCCAUUUUAGUUUUAUUUCUUCUGACAUAAAAGUGAACUUACAAUAUAUUAUAGAAUUAAUAUUUAUCAUAAACAUUAGAAAUCUUUGACCAACCAACAAACUAAAGCUUCCAUAAACGAAACAACUCUACUGAUGUAAGAUACAUUUCACAACAACUGGAAGCUGAAGGUUCUGUGAAAAUGGCCCAAACAUGUAAGGCAGCCGUUAGACAACAGAGGGCUAAAACCAGAGCUAGACUAAAUGAAGCAGUGGCUGAUCAGGUGACGUAAAAGCAGAACAUGAUCAUUAUUUUCAGAAACUUCUCAACUGCACAUGUAUGGAUGUCCAUCAAAUUUUGAUGUUUAAAAAUGGAGCAGGUGAGACUGGGCACGGUGGCUCACGCCUGUAAUCCUACCAAGGCUGAGGUGGGCAGAUCAUCUGAGGUCAGCGGUUGGAGAACAGCCUGACAAACGUGGCCAUCUAUACCAAAAAUACAAAAAUUUGCUGGGCAUCGUGGCACAUGCCUCUAAUCACAGCUACUCGGGAGGCUGAGGCAGCAGAAUCGCUUGAGCCCAGGAGGCUACAGUGAGCCAAGAUUGCACCACUGUACUCCAGCAUGGGCAGCACAGUGAGACUCUGUCUCAAAAAAAAAAAAAAAAAAAAAAAAAAAAA